This 398-nucleotide transfer-messenger RNA is filed under the name Endomicrobium sp. It matches the Rfam family "transfer-messenger RNA". Rfam says of the family: Bacterial tmRNA, also known as 10Sa RNA or SsrA, is named for its dual tRNA and mRNA-like properties. Its role is to liberate the mRNA from a stalled ribosome. Lineage: Bacteria; Pseudomonadati; Elusimicrobiota; Endomicrobiia; Endomicrobiales; Endomicrobiaceae. The record is from RNAcentral.
GGGGGUGAACAGGGUUCGACGGGAGUGGAAGAAGUAAUGACAGCAGGCCGGAGUUGGUCGAUGGCUCCGCAAAAAUCGACCAAAAAACAAACAACGAAACUGUUGUUCCUAAGUAUGACGUUAAACCCUUCAAUAUGAUGGGCUUUGGCGUUAUGCCAAUGGCUGCUUAACGCAGCUUCGUUUUACUCUAGACACCUGCUAUAGGGAUAAAACGUCAAGAGCAGGUUAGUUUUAAACGGCUUGUGCCGUCAGUUUAAAAUGAAAUUAAAACGGCACUAGUUUAUAACGUAGUAUCGUCCGAUUACAGCGUUAUAAACGAGAUAAAUUUUCGGACUAAGCCUGUAGCGGUCUUACUAAAACAUUUUCGGACGCGGGUUCAAUUCCCGCCACCUCCACCA